AUGAAGGGGGGAGAGGCGCCGGCGCCGGCGGCGACGGUGGUGGUGGGGGAGGAGCACUGCGAGGCGGAGGACAGGGAGCUGACGGUGCGCAAGACCACGCUCUUCUCCCCGGGGGACGGGCUGGAGGCCUACGACCACCGCACGGGCGCGCUGGCCUUCCGCCUCGAGACGUACGGCCGGGGAGGCGCCUGCGGCGGGGGCGCGGCGGCGGGGGACCUGGCGCUGCUGGGCGCCGCGGGGGACCCCGUGCUCACCGUCCGCAGGCGCCGCCCCAGCCUGCACCACCGCUGGGACGGCUUCCUGGGCGACGGGGGGGCCGCGGGCGGCGCCAAGCCGCUCUUCUCCGCGCGCCGCUCCUCCAUCCUCGGCGCCGGGGCCGGGGUCCUCGUCGACCUCCUCGCCCCCGCCCACUCCCCCGCCGCCAAGGAGUUCCGCGUCGACGGGUCCUUCCCCAGGCGGUGCUGCCGCGUGGUGGCGGUGGCCUCCUCGGGCGGCGCGGGCGAGGUGGAGGAGGGGGAGGACCAGGAGACGGUGGUGGCGGAGGUGCGCAGGAAGGUGGACGAGGGCGCGCACGUGGUGCUCGGCCGCGACGUGUUCGUGCUGUGGGUGCGCGCCGGCUUCGACGCCGCCUUCGCCAUGGGGAUCGUGCUCGUGCUCGGCCGCAUCACCGGGGACGAGCUCGACGGCGCCCUCGGCGAGGAGCUGCUCCUCGAGGCCACCUCGCCGGUGUAG
RNAcentral lists this ribosomal RNA (732 nucleotides) under Triticum aestivum (bread wheat). RNAcentral's name for it is "partial small subunit ribosomal RNA". The record is from RNAcentral. Lineage: Eukaryota; Viridiplantae; Streptophyta; Magnoliopsida; Poales; Poaceae.